AUUGAACGCUGGCGGCAGGCCUAACACAUGCAAGUCGAACGGUAACAGGGAUCAGCUUGCUGAUUCGCUGACGAGUGGCGGACGGGUGAGUAAUGUCUGGGAAACUGCCUGAUGGAGGGGGCUAACGACUGGAAACGGUAGCUAAUACCGCAUAACGUCGCAAGACCAAGGAGGGGGAGCUUCGGGCCUCUUGCCAUCGGAUGUGCCCAGAUGGGAUUAGCUAGUAGGUGGGGUAACGGCUCACCUAGGCGACGAUCCCUAGCUGGUCUGAGAGGAUGACCAGCCACACUGGAACUGAGACACGGUCCAGACUCCUACGGGAGGCAGCAGUGGGGAAUAUUGCACAAUGGGCGCAAGCCUGAUGCAGCCAUGCCGCGUGUAUGAAGAAGGCCUUCGGGUUGUAAAGUACUUUCAGCGGGGAGGAAGGGAGUAACGUUAAUACCUGCGCUCAUUGACGUUACCCGCAGAAGAAGCACCGGCUAACUCCGUG
RNAcentral lists this ribosomal RNA (490 nucleotides) under uncultured bacterium. Its description in RNAcentral is "partial 16S ribosomal RNA". It matches the Rfam family "Bacterial small subunit ribosomal RNA", at positions 30 to 507 of the family's 1533-position model. The record is from RNAcentral.